This 264-nucleotide ribosomal RNA is filed under the name uncultured bacterium. RNAcentral describes it as "partial 16S ribosomal RNA". It matches the Rfam family "Bacterial small subunit ribosomal RNA", at positions 793 to 1055 of the family's 1533-position model. The record is from RNAcentral.
GUCCACGCCAUAAACGAUGAGAACUGGAUGUCGGAGGGGUCUGCCCUUCGGUGUCGUAGCUAACGCGUUAAGUUCUCCGCCUGGGGAGUACGGCCGCAAGGUUGAAACUCAAAUGAAUUGACGGGGACCCCGCACAAGCGGUGGAGCAUGUGGUUUAAUUCGAUGCAACGCGAAGAACCUUACCUGGUAUUGACAUGUCUGGAAUUCUGCAGAGAUGCGGAAGUGCCUUCGGGAACCAGAACACAGGUGCUGCAUGGCUGUCGU